UACGAAGGUGGCAAGCGUUGUUCGGAUUUACUGGGCGUACAGGGAGCGUAGGCGGUUGGAUAAGCCCUCCGUGAAAUCUCCAGGCUUAACCUGGAAAGUGCAGAGGGGACUGUUCAGCUAGAGGAUGGGAGAGGAGCGCGGAAUUCCCGGUGUAGCGGUGAAAUGCGUAGAGAUCGGGAGGAAGGCCGGUGGCGAAGGCGGCGCUCUGGAACAUUUCUGACGCUGAGGCUCGAAAGCGUGGGGGGCAAACAGG
Molecule: ribosomal RNA, 253 nt
Filed under: uncultured bacterium
Lineage: Bacteria
Description: partial 16S ribosomal RNA
Rfam family: Bacterial small subunit ribosomal RNA
Source: RNAcentral